AUGAGACCUCCAUGAGCCCUGUAAAAGACAAAGUGCCCGGAAAUCAACCAAAUAUAAAAAGCUCCGAGAAGCCUCCUACAGUUUCUAGAUCAUCGAUAGGGUACAGUCAUGAGCCUUAUUCUAGGCUAGAGAAUUCUAGGGAACUGUUGUUGUCCCAAGGAUCCUUGAAUACCUUGGAUGUACAGGGCAGAAACCAUCUAGACUCAUCCAGAAACUAUUCAUCCCAACCUGAUUCAUCCACCAGACCAUUUUCAUCCCAACCUGAUUCAACCACCAGACCAUUUUCAUUCCAACCUGAUUCAUCCACUAGACCCUUUACCUCCCAGCCCGAGUCAUCCAAUCGGCCUUUCUCAUCCAAACCGGAGGCAUCCAACCGGCCCUUUUCAUCCCAACCGGAGGCAUCCAACCGUUCCUUCUCCUCCCAUUCGUCUGAUCCUCUGCGAACCUAUUCAAGCUACGGUCCUGAACCCAACCAUAGAACUCAGUAUUCACACAAUUCCUAUUCACAGGAUUUAGAUAACAGAGAAAAUAGAGGAGUAGAUUUUCAGGAUUAUACUCCCCGCUGUAGCCGUCACGCUGCUGCCCUCAGACUUACAGAUACAAAAAUACAGGAACUAGGGUCUAGAGAGGAUACAGUCGAGGUGCCAAUGGUGAACCUAAAUCAUUUCAACUCAAUGCCGACACUUAGAUCCUUUACUGAUUCCUUGGAUAAAGUUCCUCCUCCCUAUCCUCCUCCACCCCCUGUUCACUACAGGAGCAAUGGAAAACUAGGCAAUAAUGAUGCGCAGUGUAGUACGACAGGCCUGUACGGGAUGAGCGGUUUCGCAAACUCUUUCACAAACAUCCAUAAUACCAGGAUGCGAGAUACUUUGUAAAUUGUUCAAUCGGGAAAUAUUUUUCAUAAAAGAUGUAACAGCAGGGUUGAUUCUAAUCCACAUUGUUGCUCCUAUAAUAAUAGUAGUUAUGGAGGUUUUGCAAACAAAUCACAAUAUUUGAG
This 997-nucleotide unclassified non-coding RNA is filed under the name Eurytemora carolleeae. RNAcentral describes it as "uncharacterized LOC111696848". The record is from RNAcentral. Lineage: Eukaryota; Metazoa; Arthropoda; Copepoda; Calanoida; Temoridae.